This 477-nucleotide ribosomal RNA is filed under the name uncultured bacterium. RNAcentral describes it as "partial 16S ribosomal RNA". It matches the Rfam family "Bacterial small subunit ribosomal RNA", at positions 29 to 507 of the family's 1533-position model. The record is from RNAcentral.
AUGCACGCUGGCGGCGUGCUUAACACAUGCACGUCGCACGGGAAAUAUUUCAUUGAGACUUCGGUGGAUUUGAUUUAUUUCUAGUGGCGGACGGGUGAGUAACGCGUGGGUAACCUGCCUUAUACAGGGGGAUAACAGUCAGAAAUGGCUGCUAAUACCGCAUAAGCGCACAGAGCUGCAUGGCUCAGUGUGAAAAACUCCGGUGGUAUAAGAUGGACCCGCGUUGGAUUAGCUAGUUGGUGGGGUAACGGCCCACCAAGGCGACGAUCCAUAGCCGGCCUGAGAGGAUGAACGGCGACGUUGGAAGUGAGACACGGCCCGGAAUCCUACGAGAGGCAGCAGUGGGGAAUAUUGCACAAUGGAGGAAACCCUGAUGCAGCGACGCCACGUGAAGGAAGAAGUAUCUCAGUAUGUAAACUUCUAUCAGCAGGGAAGGUAGUGACGGUACCUGACUAAAAAGCCCCGGCUAACUACGUG